Long non-coding RNA from Cyprinus carpio carpio, 804 nucleotides. The record is from Ensembl. NCBI's taxonomy places the organism in Eukaryota, Metazoa, Chordata, Actinopteri, Cypriniformes, Cyprinidae.
CUUUAACACAAAAAGUUAAAUAUUGACGAACACAAUAUUGACAAAACUCUGAUACAUUGUUCAUUUAAAUGCAAUAGUGCAUAUAGCUUAUUAUAAUAAUUCCCCAAGCAUUAAGAGCGUUCCUCGCACCGCAUAUGUCUUACAAGAGAGAAGAUGCUGCUUUGACUGCUCGCAUCUGCUGGAGAUGUUGACACACAUAGUUGUUUACAGUUGUAAGAUUAUUUUUAUUAUUAUUAUUGUGGUAGCGCUUGUCGGAUUGGCGGAGGAACGGUGGAGAUCGGAAGUAGUUUGUGCAUGCUAAUGAAGGAGUUGGGGUUGUGGAUAUUUACGUUCAUCGGGAGCCGCCCUUCAUUCACCACAUGGUUAAAAGCUGAGCGCGUUCGCGGCACUUUCGCAAUUUUACUACGGUUUUGUAACGCAACCCAGCGCGUGCUCGGAUGCUGUAUUUCCACCGUCGGCGCUAGAAGUUUACCGUUUAGUUUCGACGAUUUGCCCGGAGCGUUGACAGUGAACGAAAAACAAUCGACCACCUCAAGUCCCCUUAACGACAUGAUCCGAGGCUAACGCCGAUCCCAAAAGUGGAUCUUCCCGGUUCCUGGUGGCCGUGAGCUUGUCGACUGCAUGUCAGCGUAGUGCCAAAGUGCUUACAGUGCAGGUUGGGAUCAGCCGCAAUGCUCUGCGCUGGAAGUAUUGCACUUGUCCCGGCCUGUGAAGAGCACGGGAAAUUGUCCAGCUGUUUUUGUGUUCUUUAAUAAAAUGUUAACGUGUGUAUGUAUGUGUGUGUAUAUAAUAUUUUGUUCCCUC